UCUUGGCACCUCCAAGUCUAGCAGGCACGUAAGGUGGCCCCGCCUGGCCUGGUUCUGGCUCUUCACACCCUGUUUCUAGGAUAUUGACCUGACAUCUGCAAAUAACACUUCAUCCACUCACACCGGUAAUUACUGACAGCGGAAGUGAACCUAGAGAGGCAGAAUAAACCAGGGUAACAACCCUCCCCUCCCCCAAGGGUAAAGACAAGUGAGAGGAAUCCAAACCAGCAGACCAACUACACUAAAGACAAGGCUUGUCUCUGUAUUCUCUGUCAGUACAAAGACACUUUCCAAAUGUGGAGUGAAUAAAUAAAUGAAUAAAGGAACAAAUAAACCAGUAAAUACAAGAACUGCGAGGACCUCCAACUCCCAACCUCUAGAAAACCACGAAGUGGUUCAUCAGCUGAUCUACAGACACCUGGAGAAAGAUUAGUUUUCAGGGAAGAACACAGAGGAAGACAUGCCCCAUUUUUUGCAUCUAGGCUUCCCAAGGAAUGUGUAUCGUUCUAAGAACGUAAAUAUUUUACCUCCAUGCUCUCCCAUAACCAUUUUUCUUCAAGCUGACAGCUCUGUAAUUAAAGUUCUUAUGCUGCUGCUUUAUUUUUCCAAGCGGCCUUUGUCUUUUCACAACUGCAGAGGCUUUCUGCCAGGACCCCUGCAGUGUUGGGCACUGAGGACUCCUGCCUGUCAACAUGUCCCCAUUCACAGAAUUCAGUACCAAAAAGAACAGCUUGGGAGAAAAAAUUGUUUGGGGCACUCCUCUCAAAACCUAUGGGACUGCAAAAUGCAAUAAAAGUAAUAACCGAUAA
This is a long non-coding RNA of Suricata suricatta (meerkat), 809 nucleotides long. RefSeq lists it as uncharacterized. NCBI's taxonomy places the organism in Eukaryota, Metazoa, Chordata, Mammalia, Carnivora, Herpestidae. The record is from RefSeq and is a predicted model, not a curated record. The transcript is spliced from 3 exons.